GGUGAAUGUGGUGGUAAGACAUGUUUGACGGUGCAACGUAUUACGCGUGUCAGUGCAAAAUGAGGAUGAGGAUGUUAAGUAAAUAUUUCACACGAAAAGCUCAUUAGAUUUCAGUACUUUCAGAGAUUUAAAAAAAAUAGUAUAUAUUGUUUAGAAAGUUUUGGGGAAGUUAUUAGGUGACCUCACUUGUUGCAGAGGCACCCACAUAGUGCAACAUGUUACAAUCUUCAACAAUCUACGAUCUCGUCUUCCACCAUGAUAAGAUUGAACGAGGAGUAACUGCUGCUUUAACACAGUUAAGGUAUGAACAGAUGUCUUCUUGGAGGGGCCAGGCCGAGGUUUGGCAGACAGUAACUGUACACCACCUCCAGCCUUGAAACGCUGCACCCAGUUCCUCACUGAACGCUCAAACUCACUAAUAUUCUCCACUAUUUCUUUCGUCUGGUCGCCUGCUUUGUGAAACCUUAUGAUUUAAGCUAUAGUUUCAGGUGUUAAAGACUUCCUUUUACCUAAAAUCAAAGAUGUAUAGCCCUAAAACCAAAGGGAAUACUGGAGAAAAGAUGGGACGGAUAAGAGACAAUAGUGUAACGCUUCCUCUCACCACAUGUGAAUUAUCAAAAACUUAAAUAAAUAUAAAACAAUUUUGUAAAGGAUUGUAGAAAAUUUGUACCAGAAUAUAA
Molecule: long non-coding RNA, 680 nt
Organism: Cherax quadricarinatus
Lineage: Eukaryota; Metazoa; Arthropoda; Malacostraca; Decapoda; Parastacidae
Source: RefSeq, a predicted model, not a curated record